AAGAGCGAGCCUUUAUGGCGAGCAUUAUAUCCAUAACACUGUGAACUGUUGACUCUUUUAGAGUCUUUUUUACAAAACUUUUGUGUAAUGAACGUAUUAAACUAUAAUCAAUA
RNAcentral lists this unclassified non-coding RNA (113 nucleotides) under uncultured Tremellomycetes. RNAcentral's name for it is "sequence contains ITS1". The record is from RNAcentral. Lineage: Eukaryota; Fungi; Basidiomycota; Tremellomycetes.